RNAcentral lists this ribosomal RNA (452 nucleotides) under Pseudomonadota bacterium. RNAcentral describes it as "bacterial SSU rRNA". It matches the Rfam family "Bacterial small subunit ribosomal RNA", at positions 46 to 494 of the family's 1533-position model. The record is from RNAcentral. Lineage: Bacteria; Pseudomonadati; Pseudomonadota.
GCGCCUNNCAUGCAGUCGAGCGGUAACAGAAAGUAGCUUGCUACUUUGCUGACGAGCGGCGGACGGGUGAGUAAUGCUUGGGAACAUGCCUUGAGGUGGGGGACAACAGUUGGAAACGACUGCUAAUACCGCAUAAUGUCUACGGACCAAAGGGGGCUUCGGCUCUCGCCUUUAGAUUGGCCCAAGUGGGAUUAGCUAGUUGGUGAGGUAAUGGCUCACCAAGGCGACGAUCCCUAGCUGGUUUGAGAGGAUGAUCAGCCACACUGGGACUGAGACACGGCCCAGACUCCUACGGGAGGCAGCANUGGGGAAUAUUGCACAAUGGGCGCAAGCCUGAUGCAGCCAUGCCGCGUGUGUGAAGAANGCCUUCCGGUUGUAAAGCACUUUCAGUCNCGAGGAAAGGUUAACGGUUAAUACCCGUUAGCUGUGACGUUACNGANACAAAAAGCACC